RNAcentral lists this ribosomal RNA (433 nucleotides) under uncultured eukaryote. RNAcentral describes it as "bacterial SSU rRNA". It matches the Rfam family "Eukaryotic small subunit ribosomal RNA", at positions 592 to 1018 of the family's 1831-position model. The record is from RNAcentral.
CACGAGCGUAUAUAAACGUUGUUGACGUUAAAAAGUUCGUAGUCUAAUCUCAUGGAACCGUUCUGAUUGGCCCGGCAAAUUGCCGCGCGCCUGCAGACGUUCCAUUUCCUCCCGGUCGAGUGGCCAGGCCCUUAACUGGGUCGGGUUCUUUACUUGCCGGGUCGCUUACUUUGCCUAAAUAGGAGCGCUCAACGCACCGCUUACGCGGGUUGAACUCUUUGCAUGGAAUAAUGGAACAGGACUCUCUUCUUGUUUUGUUGGUUUUUGGGAAGAAGGUAAUGAUAAAUGGAAGCGGUUGGGGGCGAUUUGUAUUUGAGAGUCAGAGGUGAAAUUCUGGGAUUUCUCAAAGACAAACUACUGCGAAGGCAUCUCGCAAGGACGCUUUCGUCGAUCAAGAACGAUAGUCGAGGGAUCGAAGACGAUCAGAUACCAU